CCUACGGGUGGCAGCAGUAGGGAAUUUUCCGCAAUGGGCGAAAGCCUGACGGAGCAAUACCGCGUGAGGGAUGACGGCCUAUGGGUUGUAAACCUCUUUUUUCAGGGAGGAAUAAAUGACGUGUACCUGAAGAAUAAGCAUCGGCUAACUCCGUGCCAGCAGCCGCGGUAAGACGGAGGAUGCAAGUGUUAUCCGGAAUCACUGGGCGUAAAGCGUCUGUAGGUGGUCAAAUAAGUCAACUGUUAAAUCUUGAGGCUCAACCUCAAAACCGCAGUCGAAACUAUUAGACUAGAGUAUAGUAGGGGUAAAGGGAAUUUCCAGUGGAGCGGUGAAAUGCGUAGAUAUUGGAAGGAACACCGAUGGCGAAGGCACUUUACUGGGCUAUUACUAACACUCAGAGACGAAAGCUAGGGUAGCAAAUGGGAUUAGAUACCCUAGUAGUC
RNAcentral lists this ribosomal RNA (443 nucleotides) under uncultured bacterium. Its description in RNAcentral is "bacterial SSU rRNA". It matches the Rfam family "Bacterial small subunit ribosomal RNA", at positions 338 to 795 of the family's 1533-position model. The record is from RNAcentral.